Molecule: transfer RNA, 71 nt
Filed under: Candidatus Daviesbacteria bacterium
Lineage: Bacteria; Candidatus Daviesiibacteriota
Description: tRNA-Thr
Rfam family: tRNA
About the family: Transfer RNA (tRNA) molecules are approximately 80 nucleotides in length. Their secondary structure includes four short double-helical elements and three loops (D, anti-codon, and T loops).
Source: RNAcentral
GCCUCCCUAGCUCAAUGGCAGAGCACGUGUUUUGUAAACACAAGACAGUAGUUCGAUUCUACUGGGAGGCU